Vitis riparia (riverbank grape) is the source of this 676-nucleotide long non-coding RNA. RefSeq lists it as uncharacterized. The record is from RefSeq and is a predicted model, not a curated record. NCBI's taxonomy places the organism in Eukaryota, Viridiplantae, Streptophyta, Magnoliopsida, Vitales, Vitaceae. The transcript has 3 exons.
UCAUAAGGAGGGAAGUGAAGGAUUGGGAGGAGGAAGCGAUUGCCACUGCUCGAUUCAAGGCGUUUAGCGGACAAAGAUCUGACUGGGAGGCAAGGUACCAGUUUUGGAGAGAUUUGAUUCUGAAGGUGGCUCGCCAUUUCCACCUUCUCUUCAUUUCGCCUUCCCAGGUGAAGAAGGAUUGGUUUAAUCGAGGAGGAUUGACCCUUUGUGCCUUGACCAUGUUCUGUUUUUGAUGUAUAAUGAAGGUGAUAUUAUACGAAGUGUGGAUCUUGUGGACCCAACUAGUGGACGGCUUUCCCAGCUUUUUAGGAAAGUAAAACAUAUGAUGGUUAGAUCAACAUCUGCAGAAGUUAUGUUUGAAGAUCAUCUCAUUCUUCUUCCACUGUUGAAGGUAUGUAUAUGUCUUUUAAUUACCAAAAAGAGAGAAUUAAUUAUUCCUCUAUCUAAAAAACUUAUAACCCAUGUUAGUAACCACAAACUAGAAGUUUGGGUCUCUACAAAAUUGGUUUCACCAUUGACAUCUCAAAUGUUAAGCCUAUUAGGAAAAAAAAGGGCAUAUCAAAUGCUAAAUUUAACAUUUAGGAUGUGUUUGGUUCAUGGGCAUCCAAAUUAGGGAAUGAGCAUCUUAUAUCCACAUAUAAGAUUACUAGUGCACAUAACUUGAAAAGUUUUAGUU